Molecule: long non-coding RNA, 1661 nt
Organism: Cyprinus carpio (common carp)
Lineage: Eukaryota; Metazoa; Chordata; Actinopteri; Cypriniformes; Cyprinidae
Exons: 3
Source: RefSeq, a predicted model, not a curated record
AUGUAAGGACAUAUAAAAGUGUAAUGUAGGUGCUUUGACUUGUGCCUAAAUAUCGUUACUUAUCAAUGUCUUAAUCAUGUUGAAGUAUGCAAAAAGAUUUUGCAGCAUCGCUAUGUUUACAGCAACAACAACAACAACAACAACAUCUGUUUACAGUGAUACCAGCCAAGACCAAACAAUCUCAUUUUGUAAGAAUUUGUGCAAAUGUAUUUGAAAAUUGUAUUAAUUUUAUGCCUAAUUUUAUAAUUUAAUGAUGCAGAUGAACAAAAAAUUUAAAAAAAGUGCCACACCGAAAGCAAAUCAACUUAAAAACGAAACAAUCAAAGGAAGAAAAAAGAAAAAAAGUAACACCCUUCUGUUUUGGUCUGCUGUGACUAGUUAAGUGUAUUGACAGAUUGCAACCUUUUCAAUGCCUGAUAUUUGUCGCUGUUUGCCACUCUGUUGCCUCUUUUUCUACCUCUGUGCUUCACUUUUCUCAAUAUUUGCAUGUUGGUAAUGUGAAAUCCCAGUGCUUUAAUAAAUCAAACUCUCUCUUUGUUGAGAUCUCAAGCCUUUUUUUGCUUUCAAGGCGCUGCUGCUGUGUUAUUGCCCUUUAUACGUUUUGCCACGUUUCAUGUUAAGUUCAUGCUAUUUUUGUCUCAACCUAAAUUAUUCCAACAGUGGAGGAUCUGGAACGCAAUGAUGGCACAGCGGACAGACCAUACUUCAUGCCAGAGAGACUGCUGUCCAUCCUCAAGAAGUCCAAUGAGGGGGGGAAAACAGUGGACUAAGGAAAGAAGGAAAGAUUUAUGGACAAACAAAGAAGUGUAGGGACAGAAAAAUAGAAAUACUUGCCAUACUUGUACUGAUUUUAUAGCUCGGGCACCAGUGAGUAUUACCAGUCAUUACAGCCAAAAGUGUUACAUAUUUUUGUUACCGUUGUUUUUGCUUAUUACAUGGGUUUGUAUUUGUAUAUAUUAUGCUUUAUUAGACUAGGCACGACUGUCCUAAUAUAUUUUUCAGUUUCCUUUGAAUGUCUAUGUUACUGAACUACUUUAACUGCCAUUAGGCCUAUUCUCGUGAUGACAGUGUUAAUGAUAACCAUUUUUAUACCUGACAGCAUUUGAAUAUAAUGUAAUUUCAUUUUGAUAUGUUUCUGCAGUGUUUUUCUGUGCGUCCAUUUGACGUGGCCAUUGUUGUGUUACUACUUGUAUUGUUUGAGGUGAUAUGGGGAGAACUAAUAAAUAUUAAUUAGGUCAAGAACGUAAUGUCGUAUUAUUUUCCGGGGCGUAAAGGUACGUAACUUAAUAUUCAUGAGACGACGAUACCUUGUUCAGUUACUAGGCAACCAGUUGAAAACACAAACGAGGCCGCUGUGGGAGAGGCUAUAGUGGGGAAAGAAAUCCAUCUAUAAACACCAAUGUAAUAAAUGUUCAUAAAAAUGCUCGCCAUGUCUGUCUCAGAGGACAUCGAGCUCCCUACCCAUGAUGAAAUUUCGGAGCUCCAAAGAAAAAUUCAUCUUCUGAAUGGAGACUAUUCGAUAGCGCAUAUCGAAAACUCGCAGUCUGCCAAGAACAGAGAAAUUAUCUUGCAGCUGAGACUCGAGAAUGCAAAACUGCACAAGAAACAGCUUGAGGGAGAUGAACAAGUUAUCAAGGAUGUUUUUCAAGGUCAUGGGAUGG